AAAUUUGAGUCGCGAUUUCCGAAUGGGGAAACCCAACUGCACAAGCAGUUACUGUUAACUGAAUACAUAGGUUAACAGAGCAAACCGGGGGAACUGAAACAUCUAAGUACCCCGAGGAGAAGAAAUCAACCGAGAUUCCGGUAGUAGCGGCGAGCGAACCUGGAUUAGCCCUUAAGCACUCGUUGAAGUAGGUGAACAAGCUGGAAAGCUUGGCGAUACAGGGUGAUAGCCCCGUAACCGACGCUUCAUCGAGCGUGAAAUCGAGUAGGGCGGGACACGUGAUAUCCUGUCUGAAUAUGGGGGGACCAUCCUCCAAGGCUAAAUACUCCUGACUGACCGAUAGUGAACCAGUACCGUGAGGGAAAGGCGAAAAGAACCCCUGUGAGGGGAGUGAAAUAGAACCUGAAACCGUGUACGUACAAGCAGUAGGAGCACCUUCGUGGUGUGACUGCGUACCUUUUGUAUAAUGGGUCAGCGACUUAUAUUCAGUGGCAAGGUUAACCGUAUAGGGGAGCCGUAGCGAAAGCGAGUCUUAACUGGGCGCUCAGUCUCUGGAUAUAGACCCGAAACCGGGUGAUCUAGCCAUGGGCAGGUUGAAGGUUGAGUAACAUCAACUGGAGGACCGAACCGACUAAUGUUGAAAAAUUAGCGGAUGACUUGUGGCUAGGGGUGAAAGGCCAAUCAAACUCGGAGAUAGCUGGUUCUCCCCGAAAGCUAUUUAGGUAGCGCCUCGGACGAAUACUACUGGGGGUAGAGCACUGUUAAGGCUAGGGGGUCAUCCCGACUUACCAACCCUUUGCAAACUCCGAAUACCAGUAAGUACUAUCCGGGAGACACACGGCGGGUGCUAACGUCCGUCGUGGAGAGGGAAACAACCCAGACCGCCAGCUAAGGUCCCAAAGUAUUGCUAAGUGGGAAACGAUGUGGGAAGGCUCAGACAGCUAGGAUGUUGGCUUAGAAGCAGCCAUCAUUUAAAGAAAGCGUAAUAGCUCACUAGUCGAGUCGGCCUGCGCGGAAGAUGUAACGGGGCUAAGCAAUACACCGAAGCUGCGGCAAUGCCUUUUAGGUAUUGGGUAGGGGAGCGUUCUGUAAGCCGUUGAAGGUGGUCUGUAAGGGCUGCUGGAGGUAUCAGAAGUGCGAAUGCUGACAUGAGUAACGACAAAGGGGGUGAAAAACCUCCUCGCCGGAAGACCAAGGGUUCCUGUCCAACGUUAAUCGGGGCAGGGUGAGUCGACCCCUAAGGUGAGGCCGAAAGGCGUAAUCGAUGGGAAACGGGUUAAUAUUCCCGUACUUCUGACUAUUGCGAUGGGGGGACGGAGAAGGCUAGGUGGGCCAGGCGACGGUUGUCCUGGUUCAAGUGCGUAGGCUUAAGAGUUAGGUAAAUCCGGCUCUUUCUAAGGCUGAGACACGACGUCGAGCUGCUACGGCAGUGAAGUCAUUGAUGCCAUGCUUCCAGGAAAAGCCUCUAAGCUUCAGAUAGUCAGGAAUCGUACCCCAAACCGACACAGGUGGUCGGGUAGAGAAUACCAAGGCGCUUGAGAGAACUCGGGUGAAGGAACUAGGCAAAAUGGUACCGUAACUUCGGGAGAAGGUACGCUCUUGAUGGUGAAGUCCCUUGCGGAUGGAGCUGACGAGAGUCGCAGAUACCAGGUGGCUGCAACUGUUUAUUAAAAACACAGCACUGUGCAAAAUCGCAAGAUGACGUAUACGGUGUGACGCCUGCCCGGUGCCGGAAGGUUAAUUGAUGGGGUUAGCGCAAGCGAAGCUCUUGAUCGAAGCCCCGGUAAACGGCGGCCGUAACUAUAACGGUCCUAAGGUAGCGAAAUUCCUUGUCGGGUAAGUUCCGACCUGCACGAAUGGCGUAAUGAUGGCCACGCUGUCUCCACCCGAGACUCAGUGAAAUUGAAAUCGCUGUGAAGAUGCAGUGUACCCGCGGCUAGACGGAAAGACCCCGUGAACCUUUACUACAGCUUGGCACUGAACAUUGAACCUACAUGUGUAGGAUAGGUGGGAGGCUAUGAAGACGUGACGCUAGUUGCGUUGGAGCCGUCCUUGAAAUACCACCCUUGUAUGUUUGAUGUUCUAACUUAGCCCCAUUAUCUGGGGUGAGGACAGUGCCUGGUGGGUAGUUUGACUGGGGCGGUCUCCUCCCAAAGAGUAACGGAGGAGCACGAAGGUGGGCUAAUCACGGUUGGACAUCGUGAGGUUAGUGCAAUGGCAUAAGCCCGCUUAACUGCGAGAAUGACGGUUCGAGCAGGUGCGAAAGCAGGUCAUAGUGAUCCGGUGGUUCUGUAUGGAAGGGCCAUCGCUCAACGGAUAAAAGGUACUCCGGGGAUAACAGGCUGAUACCGCCCAAGAGUUCAUAUCGACGGCGGUGUUUGGCACCUCGAUGUCGGCUCAUCACAUCCUGGGGCUGAAGUCGGUCCCAAGGGUAUGGCUGUUCGCCAUUUAAAGUGGUACGCGAGCUGGGUUUAGAACGUCGUGAGACAGUUCGGUCCCUAUCUGCCGUGGGCGUUGGAAGAUUGAAGGGGGCUGCUCCUAGUACGAGAGGACCGGAGUGGACGAACCUCUGGUGUUCGGGUUGUGUCGCCAGACGCAUUGCCCGGUAGCUAAGUUCGGAAUUGAUAAGCGCUGAAAGCAUCUAAGCGCGAAGCGAGCCCUGAGAUGAGUCUUCCC
This 2676-nucleotide ribosomal RNA is filed under the name Vibrio cholerae. RNAcentral's name for it is "partial 23S ribosomal RNA". It matches the Rfam family "Bacterial large subunit ribosomal RNA". Lineage: Bacteria; Pseudomonadati; Pseudomonadota; Gammaproteobacteria; Vibrionales; Vibrionaceae. The record is from RNAcentral.